CCUACGGGUGGCAGCAGUAGGGAAUAUUGCUCAAUGGGGGAAACCCUGAUGCAGCAACGCCGCGUGUGGGAUGAAGGUUUUAGGAUUGUAAACCACUGUUGUUGGAGAAGAUUAUGACGGUAACUAACGAAUAAGCACCGGCUAACUACGUGCCAGCAGCCGCGGUAAUACGGAGGGUGCAAGCGUUACUCGGAAUUACUGGGCGUAAAGAGUGCGUAGGCGGGGUUAUAAGUCAGACGUGAAAUCCACUAGCUUAACUUGAGAACUGCGUUUGAAACUGUGGGGCUGGAGUGUGGGAGAGGUAGGCGGAAUUCCUGGUGUAGGGGUAAAAUGCGUAGAGAUCAAGAGGAACACUAGUGGCGAAGGCGACCUGCUGGAACUUUACUGACGCUGAGGCACGAAAGCGUGGGUAGCAAACAGGAUUAGAUACCCUAGUAGUC
RNAcentral lists this ribosomal RNA (440 nucleotides) under uncultured bacterium. RNAcentral's name for it is "partial 16S ribosomal RNA". It matches the Rfam family "Bacterial small subunit ribosomal RNA", at positions 338 to 795 of the family's 1533-position model. The record is from RNAcentral.